Carassius carassius (crucian carp) is the source of this 435-nucleotide long non-coding RNA. RefSeq lists it as uncharacterized. NCBI's taxonomy places the organism in Eukaryota, Metazoa, Chordata, Actinopteri, Cypriniformes, Cyprinidae. The record is from RefSeq and is a predicted model, not a curated record. The transcript has 3 exons.
CCUUUCCUGGAGGGGGGCGGAGGGCUUACCGUUGGUGUGGAUGGUAGAGACGCAAAUCAUACCUCUGGCUGACCGCCUGGGCCUUCAUACUAACCUGGCAAGGGAGACACCAUGAUCAAGAAGGCGGUUCACCCAGGGCGAGGCUUGUCCAUUGCACUCCGGCCAUCGGCAUCGCUUCUCGGCCUUUUGGCUAAGAUCACGUAUCUUGUCGGACGGUUGAGACUGCGAUCGCCUCUUGGAGGUUUCCUGACUUGAGAUCUUUUUAUAUCUUGAGUCACACAACUUCGAGAGGUACAUUGAACUCUGCUGCUUCGGGCUCCAACAAGUUUUAAGCCCCCCUCGGUGGUUCCUGGUGAAACUGGAGAGGGCGGUGUUUUACUUCCUGUGGGGGUCCAAUUGGGAGCGCCUGAAUAGGGAGACAGUCAAGAAAAGGCC